CGCUGGGUAGCUACGUGUGGACGGGAUAAGUGCUGAAAGCAUCUAAGCAUGAAGCCCCCCUCAAGAUGAGAUUUCCCAUUACGCAAGUAAGUAAGAUCCCUUGAAGAAGACGAGGUAGAUAGGUUCGGGGUGGAAGUGUGGCGACACAUGGAGCUGACGAAUACUAAUCGAUCGAGGACUUAACCAA
RNAcentral lists this ribosomal RNA (187 nucleotides) under Thermoproteota archaeon. RNAcentral's name for it is "partial 23S ribosomal RNA". It matches the Rfam family "Bacterial large subunit ribosomal RNA", at positions 2739 to 2925 of the family's 2925-position model. The record is from RNAcentral. Lineage: Archaea; Thermoproteati; Thermoproteota.